Molecule: ribosomal RNA, 382 nt
Filed under: uncultured bacterium
Lineage: Bacteria
Description: partial 16S ribosomal RNA
Rfam family: Bacterial small subunit ribosomal RNA
Source: RNAcentral
UGGGGAAUAUUGGACAAUGGGCGCAAGCCUGAUCCAGCCAUGCCGCGUGAGUGAUGAAGGCCUUAGGGUUGUAAAGCUCUUUCGCCGGUGAAGAUAAUGACGGUAACCGGAGAAGAAGCCCCGGCUAACUUCGUGCCAGCAGCCGCGGUAAUACGAAGGGGGCUAGCGUUGCUCGGAAUCACUGGGCGUAAAGCGCACGUAGGCGGAUCGUUAAGUCAGGGGUGAAAUCCUGGAGCUCAACUCCAGAACUGCCCUUGAUACUGGCGAUCUCGAGUUCGAGAGAGGUUGGUGGAACUCCGAGUGUAGAGGUGAAAUUCGUAGAUAUUCGGAAGAACACCAGUGGCGAAGGCGGCCAACUGGCUCGAUACUGACGCUGAGGUGC